RNAcentral lists this ribosomal RNA (221 nucleotides) under uncultured Geminigera. Its description in RNAcentral is "partial Bacterial small subunit ribosomal RNA". It matches the Rfam family "Bacterial small subunit ribosomal RNA", at positions 11 to 292 of the family's 1533-position model. The record is from RNAcentral. Lineage: Eukaryota; Cryptophyceae; Pyrenomonadales; Geminigeraceae.
GUUUGAUCCUGGCUCAGAAUGAACGCUAUCUAUUUGCUUAACACAUGCUAGUUGAACGCGUCUAACGACGAGUGGCGAACGGGUGAGUAAUACAAAGGAAUUUACCCCAUAGUUUGGUUAAAUGCCUUAUAUAGAAAGAUUUUUUGCUAUGGGAUGAGCCUUUGUAGGAUUAGGUAGUUGGUAAGAUAAUAGCUUACCAAGCCGAUGAUCCUUAAUUGGUC